This 433-nucleotide ribosomal RNA is filed under the name uncultured bacterium. RNAcentral describes it as "partial 16S ribosomal RNA". It matches the Rfam family "Bacterial small subunit ribosomal RNA", at positions 29 to 507 of the family's 1533-position model. The record is from RNAcentral.
AACGAACGCUGGCGGCAGGCCUAACACAUGCAAGUCGAGCGAGGACUUCGGUUCUAGCGGCGGACGGGUGAGUAACGCGUGGGAAUGUGCCCUUCUCUACGGAAUAGCCCUGGGAAACUGGGAGUAAUACCGUAUACGCCCUUUUGGGGAAAGAUUUAUCGGAGAAGGAUCAGCCCGCGUUGGAUUAGGUAGUUGGUGGGGUAAUGGCCUACCAAGCCGACGAUCCAUAGCUGGUUUGAGAGGAUGAUCAGCCACACUGGGACUGAGACACGGCCCAGACUCCUACGGGAGGCAGCAGUGGGGAAUGUUAGACAAUGGGGGCAGCCCUGAUCGAGCCAUGCCGCGGGAGUGAUGAAGGCGUUAGGGUUGUAAAGCUCUUUCAGCUGGGAAGAUAAUGACGGUACCAGCAGAAGAAGCACCGGCUAACUCCGUG